RNAcentral lists this ribosomal RNA (494 nucleotides) under uncultured bacterium. Its description in RNAcentral is "bacterial SSU rRNA". It matches the Rfam family "Bacterial small subunit ribosomal RNA", at positions 903 to 1397 of the family's 1533-position model. The record is from RNAcentral.
AAAUGAAUAGACGGGGGCCCGCACAAGCGGAGGAACAUGUGGUUUAAUUCGAUGAUACGCGAGGAACCUUACCCGGGCUUGAAUUGCAGUUGCAUGAGGCAGAGAUGUCUCUUCCCUUCGGGGCUACUGUGAAGGUGCUGCAUGGUUGUCGUCAGCUCGUGCCGUGAGGUGUCGGCUUAAGUGCCAUAACGAGCGCAACCCUUGCUGUCAGUUGCCAUCAGUUUUAGCUGGGCACUCUGGCGGGACUGCCAUCGCAAGAUGUGAGGAAGGUGGGGAUGACGUCAAAUCAGCACGGCCCUUACGUCCGGGGCUACACACGUGUUACAAUGGGGAGUACAGCGAGUUGCUUAGUGGCGACACUUGGCCAAUCUUUAAAUCUCCUCUCAGUUCGGACUGGAGUCUGCAACCCGACUCCACGAAGCUGGAUUCGCUAGUAAUCGCGCAUCAGCCAUGGCGCGGUGAAUACGUUCCCGGGCCUUGUACACACCGCCCGU